This 243-nucleotide ribosomal RNA is filed under the name uncultured Lactobacillus sp. RNAcentral's name for it is "partial 16S ribosomal RNA". It matches the Rfam family "Bacterial small subunit ribosomal RNA", at positions 119 to 354 of the family's 1533-position model. The record is from RNAcentral. Lineage: Bacteria; Bacillati; Bacillota; Bacilli; Lactobacillales; Lactobacillaceae.
GGGUAACCUGCCCAAGAGAUCGGGAUAACACCUGGAAACAGAUGCUAAUACCGGAUAACAACAGAUGAUGCCUAUCAACUGUUUAAAAGAUGGUUCUGCUAUCACUCUUGGAUGGACCUGCGGUGCAUUAGCUAGUUGGUAGGGUAACGGCCUACCAAGGCGAUGAUGCAUAGCCGAGUUGAGGGACUGAUCGGCCACAUUGGGACUGAGACACGGCCCAAACUCCUACGGGAGGCAGCAGGU